UUUCAGUUUAUGCAUGAUCUU
RNAcentral lists this small nuclear RNA (21 nucleotides) under Arabidopsis thaliana (thale cress). Its description in RNAcentral is "snRNA_13906". Lineage: Eukaryota; Viridiplantae; Streptophyta; Magnoliopsida; Brassicales; Brassicaceae. The record is from RNAcentral.